RNAcentral lists this ribosomal RNA (296 nucleotides) under uncultured bacterium. Its description in RNAcentral is "partial 16S ribosomal RNA". It matches the Rfam family "Bacterial small subunit ribosomal RNA", at positions 775 to 1067 of the family's 1533-position model. The record is from RNAcentral.
GGAUUAGAUACCCUGGUAGUCCACGCAGUAAACGGUGAGCACUAGGUGUAGUGGGUAUUUACCCCCGCUGUGCCGGAGUUAACGCAUUAAGUGCUCCGCCUGGGAAGUACGGCCGCAAGGCUAAAACUCAAAGGAAUUGACGGGGGCCCGCACAAGCGGUGGAGCAUGUGGUUUAAUUCGACGCAACGCGAAGAACCUUACCUGGAUUUGACAUCCUGGGAAUGUCUUUGAAAGAAGACAGUGCCCUUCGGGGAGCCUGGAGACAGGUGCUGCAUGGCUGUCGUCAGCUCGUGCCG